This 495-nucleotide ribosomal RNA is filed under the name uncultured bacterium. RNAcentral's name for it is "partial 16S ribosomal RNA". It matches the Rfam family "Bacterial small subunit ribosomal RNA", at positions 28 to 507 of the family's 1533-position model. The record is from RNAcentral.
GACGAACGCUGGCGGCGUGCCUAAUACAUGCAAGUAGAACGCUGAAGGAGGAGCUUGCUCUUCUGGAUGAGUUGCGAACGGGUGAGUAACGCGUAGGUAACCUGCCUGGUAGCGGGGGAUAACUAUUGGAAACGAUAGCUAAUACCGCAUAACAGUAGAUGUUGCAUGACAUUUGCUUAAAAGGUGCAAUUGCACCACUACCAGAUGGACCUGCGUUGUAUUAGCUAGUUGGUGGGGUAACGGCUCACCAAGGCGACGAUACAUAGCCGACCUGAGAGGGUGGUCAGCCACACUGGGACUGAGACACGGCCCAGACGCCUACGGGAGGCAGCAGUAGGGAAUCUUCGGCAAGAGGCGGAAGUCUGACCGAGCAACGCCGCGUGAGUGAAGAAGGUUUUCGGAUCGUAAAGCUCUGUUGUAAGAGAAGAACGAGUGUGAGAGUGGAAAGUUCACACUGUGACGGUAUCUUACCAGAAAGGGACGGCUAACUACGUG